RNAcentral lists this ribosomal RNA (409 nucleotides) under Enterobacter sp. COR260. RNAcentral's name for it is "bacterial SSU rRNA". It matches the Rfam family "Bacterial small subunit ribosomal RNA", at positions 990 to 1395 of the family's 1533-position model. The record is from RNAcentral. Lineage: Bacteria; Pseudomonadati; Pseudomonadota; Gammaproteobacteria; Enterobacterales; Enterobacteriaceae.
GGAAGAGACUUUGCAGAGAUGGCAUUGAGUGCCUUCGGGAACUCUGAGACAGGUGCUGCAUGGCUGUCGUCAGCUCGUGUUGUGAAAUGUUGGGUUAAGUCCCGCAACGAGCGCAACCCUUAUCCUUUGUUGCCAGCGGUUAGGCCGGGAACUCAAAGGAGACUGCCAGUGAUAAACUGGAGGAAGGUGGGGAUGACGUCAAGUCAUCAUGGCCCUUACGAGUAGGGCUACACACGUGCUACAAUGGCGCAUACAAAGAGAAGCGACCUCGCGAGAGCAAGCGGACCUCAUAAAGUGCGUCGUAGUCCGGAUUGGAGUCUGCAACUCGACUCCAUGAAGUCGGAAUCGCUAGUAAUCGUAGAUCAGAAUGCUACGGUGAAUACGUUCCCGGGUCUUGUACACACCGAAA